Taeniopygia guttata (zebra finch) is the source of this 1413-nucleotide non-coding RNA. The record is from RefSeq and is a predicted model, not a curated record. NCBI's taxonomy places the organism in Eukaryota, Metazoa, Chordata, Aves, Passeriformes, Estrildidae.
AGGAGGGUGGAGGAUUAAGGCUCUUUGGAGCACAGGCAUUGGCUCCACAGGCCUUUUGUUGUCAUCAGUGUGUGACACAGUUUCUGUAUUCCUUAAGUGGUUAACCUUUGUAAAUAUUGUUUUAAUUUCUGGUUAAUGCCGUCCGUAGUAGAGGUGCUUGUGACUUUUGGGUGUUCCUCAGAGUGGUGUGUUCAGAGUCACUGGAACCAGUCAGGCACAUGGGUGCAAUCCUCACAGCACAGCACCUGUUUGAACUUGUUUGUGACAUGAGCCUGUCACUAAAUGCACAUUGCAUGGAGGGAGGGUUUUGUGCUGAGGUUUUGUGCUCUCACCACUUCUUCAGUUAAUGAAAAAACCAGGAUCAAAGAGCUCAGUAUAAUGAACAGCAUUGCAUGGAGACGAGAUCAGCAUAUGUUUAUUGAAGUUAGAAGAACUUACGCCCUAUCUUUUAUGUUAGGAGGAAUAAUGGCACUGUCAUUAUGUCUUAAAUCUUCCUAUUUUGCAACACAAUGUGUUCAAUGGGCUCUUUGAUAAAAUAUAGCUUCAUGCUAAAAAUAAAAAGUAAAGGGUAUUCACUUGGUCAACUUAAAUAUUUAACAUUUUGGAAAAUCCUAACCAUGUUAUUAAGUGUCACAUUGAACUCCUUGAUUUGGUCUGUUUUGCUCUGUUCCUUGUUUUGAUCUAAUUCUUACAUUGCUCUUUCCAUCUAUUUUGUUUUCAUUAUAAAGGUACCUGAGGGAUCAUAGCGGGAAAUGUCACAAGAGGUGAAAGAGGUUUUCAAAAAACCCAACCUGCUCUUUGAACUCUUGCAAUCCCUGUGCCCACACAGGAGCAUUUGGAAAUGUAUUGGGUCAUUCAUUUGGGCUUAUGGCAGGCUGAAAGCCAUUGUUUUCUGGCAAAGAAAAGCAGAUAAAUAAUUAAGUACAAACUUUGGAAUUAUACAUUAAUUUUUAAACAACUAUUCAUCAUUGGUCAGAUUUGGUGUGGGAAAAAUGAUAGGCUGCCUGUCUGAAAAAUAAACCUCACCUUCAUAGAGUUGUGUGGAGAGAUAAUGCUUAAUGUAAAUCAUAGAAUUGUAAAAUAACUGUGUUUUUGCUGACUAAGCUGACCUUCAGAGAGGCCUGAACAAAAUUCCCUGGGCACAGAUGGCUCCUGGGCUGGGAAGCAGCAAUCACACCUCAUAAAUCCACACAGCAAUGAAGAUACUGCUCAUUAACUUUUGUGCAGCACCAUAAAGCUUGUUUACUUAAGGAAUCUGAGAGGGCAAAGAAAGCUAAAUGGAGCCCAGCCCCUCCUGAGGAGGGUGGCACACACCUUCCCACCACUCACUCCCUGCCCUUGCCUGGUUCCCUGACCUGCAAGGUGAGUUUGCCAAGAGCAUCCAUCAUUCUGACAUAAAGAGAUGCUUGUUUA